This 2817-nucleotide long non-coding RNA is filed under the name Olea europaea (common olive). RNAcentral describes it as "long non-coding RNA (OEUR_LNC000545)". The record is from RNAcentral. Lineage: Eukaryota; Viridiplantae; Streptophyta; Magnoliopsida; Lamiales; Oleaceae.
UUUUAGGUCAGGCAAUUGCUGCACAAGUCCUAACCCAUCUCCUAAUUUCUUUUUGAGUAGUGAUAUAUGGAAUACUGGGUGCACAUGAGAGUCUGCAGGUAGAUCAAGAUGACAAGCUACCUUUCCCUUCUUUUUUUUUUUUUUUUUUGGUAUCUGAAAAGGGCCAUAAUACUUAGCAUAUAGCUUAUAGAUGCUUCUAGAUGCUACUGAUUGCUGCUUAUAAGGAUACAAUUUGAGAAAUACCCAAUCUCCUUCAUUGAACUCCAUCUCAGUCCGAUUUUUGUUUGCAUAUAGUUUCAUUCUAGCUCUAGCUUGAGCCAAAGUCUCCUCAAGUAUGUGAUCCAUCUUGUUGUCUUUCAUGCAACAGGUCUUCUACAGCUGCUACAUUUGUUUGUUGGUAAUGGCCAAGUGCUAGCUAUGGGAGUUGGAUUCCAUAGAGGGCUUGAAAAGGUGUCAUCUUGAUUGCUAAAUGAAAGGUGGUGUUAUACCACCAUUCUGCAAGAGAGAGCCAUUUUAUCCACUGCUUGGGUUGUCUAAAUGUCAUACACCUCAAAAACAUUUCAAAGCACUUAUUCAACCUUUCUUUCUGACUCAAUUGCAGCUGUUUUCCCAUUAAUUUAAAUAACUCCUGCCUAAACCUACUAGUGAAUACCUUGUCCCUAUCGAAUAUAAUGCUCUGUGGUUUUCCAUGCAACUUGAAAAUAUUAUCUAGGAACACCUUGGCAAUGAUGCUAGCUGUGAAGGGAUGAGAAAGCGAUAAAUCUGUCAGCCACCACCAAUAUAACACUUAUCUCCAGAUUUAGGAAGUCUUUCGAUGAUGUCCAUUGAUAUGGCUCCAUGAAUGUUGUGGCUCAGGUAGAGGCUGCAAUAAACUCGGAUAAGGUACAUGUUCGCCUUGACGUCUUUGACAAGUAUCACACUGAAGUACUUCAUUCUUUACAUUCCUAGCUAAUAGAAAUAUUGCUUUCCUCUAAGUAUACUGGCUUGAAAUCCAUAGUGUCCCACAUUUCGUGAAGAGUAUACAUUCUGAAUCAAUUUUUCCAGAAUAUCACCUCAUGUUCCGACAUAUAACUUGUCUUUAUACCUCAACAGGCUAUUCUGGUAUUUGUAGUCUGAGUCAUUAUUAGGGUUCAAUAGUAGAGCAUUGAUUUUAUCUCUUGCCCAGUCAUCAUCCUGGUAACUCUCCAGUAUUUCCUGCAUCCAGAUAGGGAUAAAUGUAGAAAUGGCUCAUAUUGCCCUUCAGCUUGUUCCUUUCUAGAUAAAUCAUCAGCCACUAAAUUUUUUGCUCUUCUAUAUUGUAUCUCAUAAUCCAAUCCCAGUAAUUUAGUAAGCCAUUUCUGUUGCAAUGGGUUUGUUAUCCUCUGCUCCAAUAGGAAUUUUUGUGAUUGGUGAUCCCAUUUGUUCACUACAGUAGCCAAAUUUAGGAGUUCUUUCUCAUAAAUAGAUAGGCCCAUAUUCCUAACUCCAAUGGCCUUACUCAGGAAAGCUAAAGGUCUCUUGUUCUGCAUGAGUACUACCCAAAUCCCUCCAUAGCUUGCACCCGUUUCAAUCACAAAUGGCUACUCAAAAUCAUGUAGAGCUAGCACUACUGUGUUGCACAUAGCAUGCUUAAGUUUAUGAAAUUCAAUGUCUGUUGCCUGAUUACCUUAAUCCAAAGAAACCCAUCCUUCUCGAGUAAUUCAGUUAGUGGCUUGGUUAAGGAUCCAUAUCCUCUUAUAAUUUCCUAUAGUACCCGUAAGUCCCAAGAAUCCCCUUAAUUGUUUCACGUUUGAUGGCUUGGGUACUGUAGCAUGGUUUCUAUCUUUUUGGGGUCAGCACACACAGCUUCUUGUGAUAUAAUAUGGCCUAGGUACUCUAUUUGCCUUUCGCCAAAAGAACACUUCUCUUUGCAAAUAAUCGGUUUUUCCACAAAUUCUCAAAUACCUUUUUAGGUGUUGGCAGUGUAUAUAGAUGUCAUUGCUAUAAACUAGUAUAUCAUCAAAAAAUACCAAAACAUAUCUUCGCAACCGUUCCUUAAAAAUCUCAUUCAUCAGACUUUGGAAAGUGGCAGGAGUAUUUGUUAGCCUAUACAUUUUAUUCAUUUUAUACAUUAGAGCGGUGGACGAACGAGUUACUAUGCAUUUUAUUCAUUUUUUAACUAUUAAUCAUCAUAUUUUGUGAACAAUGAGAGCAGCCUGAUAAUGUUAAUGUUUGGACGUGUAGGGUAAAAUGGUUCCAGAGCGAGCAUCAAAGGACCACAACCACGGGAGUGAACGCACUUUCCAUUUCAUCCCAACACUGAGGGUGUCUAGUGAAGCGGGGAUGGGUGGACUAAAAUUUGGUCCACCAGAAACAAUUUUCACUCCAUCAGUUCUUGUUGAUGUUCCGAUCGAUUAUGUAAACCUUGACGAUGUCGUUGAUGACUUGGUUAACAUGGAGAAUGUGAAAUCUUCUAGUAGGCGAUUGUCGAGGGCAAAAAAACGACAAUGCAUGAAGCAGAUGGCAUCAGAAGGACCGAGCAUUCGCAAGCAGUAAUUGUGUGUUUUGAGGAAAGCUGUAACCACAUCUUUUUGUCGGACGCUGGAGAUGGCGGAAUCUGCCAUUAAACUGAUUUUUGAAUGGGCAUAUAUAUUCUCCAUCAAUUCUAACAUACAUUACAUGAUUUUUAACAUGAUUUUUGACAGAACAUUGGUCUUUUGGACUAGCUUUUGAAGUCUCAAUUGGAGUCCAGUGUAAAUGAUAUUGACACUUAAUUUUAAACCUAUUGCUAUGUAUGACGGCUUGGGUAUAUAUUUUGAGAACAUAUUAAUGCCUGGAAGAAGUAUUUGCUGAUUUGUG